UCCUGGCUCAGGAUGAACGCUGGCGGCGUGCUUAACACAUGCAAGUCGAACGAAGCAUUUAGAACAGAUUAUUUCGGUAUGAAGUUUUUAUGACUGAGUGGCGGACGGGUGAGUAACGCGUGGGUAACCUGCCUUGUACUGGGGGAUAGCAGCUGGAAACGGCUGGUAAUACCGCAUAAGCGCACAAUGUUGCAUGACAUGGUGUGAAAAACUCCGGUGGUAUAAGAUGGACCCGCGUCUGAUUAGCUAGUUGGUGAGAUAACAGCCCACCAAGGCGACGAUCAGUAGCCGACCUGAGAGGGUGACCGGCCACAUUGGGACUGAGACACGGCCCAGACUCCUACGGGAGGCAGCAGUGGGGAAUAUUGCACAAUGGAGGAAACUCUGAUGCAGCGACGCCGCGUGAGUGAAGAAGUAAUUCGUUAUGUAAAGCUCUAUCAGCAGGGAAGAUAGUGACGGUACCUGACUAAGAAGCUCCGGCUAAAUACGUGCCAG
Molecule: ribosomal RNA, 495 nt
Filed under: uncultured bacterium
Lineage: Bacteria
Description: bacterial SSU rRNA
Rfam family: Bacterial small subunit ribosomal RNA
Source: RNAcentral